Equus caballus (horse) is the source of this 1809-nucleotide long non-coding RNA. The record is from Ensembl. Lineage: Eukaryota; Metazoa; Chordata; Mammalia; Perissodactyla; Equidae.
GGCCUGGGCGGCGGGGCCUGGGCGGCGGGGCCUGGGCGGCGGGGCCUGGGCGGCGGGGCCUGUGCUGGUGCAGAAGCAGUCCUGCAGGCCUGAGCGUGGGAGCCCAAGAACGGAGCGAGGACACGUCAUCCGUGCCUGAGCCCACAUGCUGCUUGGGCAGAGCAGUCCAUAUGGUUUCCAGAGGAAGAUUCCAAUGAGCUGAGGAUGGAGAUUCGGGCAGUACAUGGAGCCGGGAAGUUGGGAAAAAGACUCACUUCAGACCCAAGCCGACCCCGCGCAGUGGGUGGGUGCUGGGGGCCAGUCAUCUUCCUUGUUUCAGAUCCAGGGCACAUGUUCCCUCCUUACCGGGUUCACGCUGCAGCUUAACCAUUGCCCACAAUCCUGCCUGGGCCUGCAUCCUGGCUCUCAUGCUCACUUGGCGAAAAUCUCAGUCCUGGUGAGAGCCGCCUUUCUGCCACACACACCUGCGCCUGGCCAGCUGGAGGCGCUGGAGAAAACACCAGAGAAAACACCAGCGGUGUGCAUCACCGCCCUGAAGCUCCUGCUCAACAGCUUGCGUGUGGCCUUGAUGCUCUGGUCCCCUGGCUCCCCUCUUAGCUGCGCAUUCCACACAUUCUCCCCUCUCCUCGAGCCCACACCUCCUCCCCUCUGCUCUCGAUUGGCUGAUGACACUGCCUCCUACUUCUCUGAGAAAUGGAAGCAAUCAAAAGCGAAUUUCCACAGCCUUGUGACACGUCGCCCGCCUCCCGGCAUCUGUCUGUUACCACAAUGAGCUGCCCUGUUCCUGCCGAAAGCCAGACCGUCUCCAUGUACGUUGAGUCCAGACUCCUCUCGUCUGCUCCCAGACAUCACCCCGUUCUGCAGGUUGGAAGUGUGAAAUCAUCGUGUCGGCAGGGCCUCACUCCAUCUGGAGCUUCUAGAGGAGGAUCCGUUCCUCACCUCCUCCAGCUGCCCGUGGCUCCAGGCAUUCCUUGGUUUGCGGCCGCAUCACUCCACUCUCUGUCUCUGUCUUCACAUGGCCUUCUCCUUUGAGUCUCCUCCCCUCCUCUUACCAGGGGAGGAUUUAGGGCUCAAUCCUAAUCCAGGAUGAUCUCUUCUCAAGAUCCUUAACUUCUGUAAAGACCCUUUUUGCAAAUAAAGUCAUGUUCACAGUUUCCAGCGGGCAAUCUUUUGGGAGACUGCCAUUCGAACCACUGCACCUCUCCCGUUUCAAAUUUGAAAAACACGCCACACUGUAGGGCCUGGGAUCUGGCUUCCUACAGCCAACAAGGGGACAGGCAAAGCAAGCUGGAUGUGUGAGGAAGUAACUCCCAACUGACGAAGCUUGACCAAUGGAAAACAAGAGAAAGAAGAAACCAGGGAGAUGAAUCUCGCCCUCCCUGGCCCUCCUCCCACCCCGCUGAAGAAGGCUUACAUGUUCCAGCAAGCCUGCCAGCCAAGCUGCCCAGCUCUUCCAAGCUCUUCCUGAAGACAACGCCUUCACCCCCUUCUUCUUCCCUCACCUCGCUUCCCACUGUGGCUCAUCCACACCUCCCAGGGCUUGUGCUCUCAAAUAAAUUGUUAGCACCUUAUUCCCUGUCUCAAGCUUUGUUGUCUACAGGAAUCAAGCUACAACUCUAGCCGCCUAUGCCCUGAGUUUCCAUUGAACGGGAAGUGGCACCCUGAUCUCCUCAGAUACGUUCUUGUUUCCUGUGCCCCUUGUUUCCCACCACAGCUGAUUGAGUGAGAGGUCUGUAGGCUGCCUCCUGCCCUGUUGGAAGCUGUGUGAUGGACACAGCCAGCAGAGUGAGGAGAAGCAGGAAGGCCGGG